AAUGUAUAGAAUCAAACAUAUUUUUGAUUUACUUGUACUAUCACAAUUUAUUUUAGAACACAAGUGUUAAUUUAUAGGCGGCGGCAUCAUUUCAGGAAGUGGCUUGAUCAGGACUGUGCUUCUGAAACUCUACUUCAUUCAACAGCUUUCCAAGCUGGAGUGAGUAGCUUGGCAAAAUGUUUAUGUAAACAUUCUUUUUUUAGAUGAUUGGAAAUCCAAAAGCAUUAUUCUUCAAUGGAUGAAGUGGAACUAAAGGAGAUUGUGAUUGACAUCAAAUCUAGAUGGCCAGUGCUGUUCACAGACAGAAAAGUAAGUGCUUAUGUAAAAUCUGCGAAAGGUCCAAUAAGAUUUUCUGUGGUUGUUGAAAUGAACCCUUUCACACAUACCAUCACACGGGUAUGAUCGUUCUACAGUGGUCCCUGAAGCAUACGAUCACACCUGUGUGAUUAGAACACUCGUUUAGAACUGCAGUGUAUAUAUAUAUCAUAACACAAUCAUCCUAACUGGAAAAAUGUAGGCUACAUUUGUCCUAGGCUGAGGAAAGAUUGACCCAACACAAGUCCACCACUGACAUCAAACAUUAUGAGGGGUGUCAGGGUCCGUGGCGAUGACCAUGCUGGCUCCUCAUCUCGGCAAGGGACACACUUUGUACGUGGACAAUUGGUACAGCAGUCCCAUGCACUCGGAAAAGCACCAAGUGGUAUACGAAGAUAUUUUUUCCAUCUGAUCGACAUUGCUGUCCUCAACGGCAGCAUAGUUCACCGCCAACUAACAGGUAAAGUAAUUACCUACCAAAAAUACAGAGAGAACCUCAUGAGAGAGCUGCUGGAGGAGCACCACACCCCUCGGCGCCCAUCCACUGGGGGUCUUCCUGCUGUAGACAAUCCCCUACGCCUCACUGCACGGCAUUUUCCCUGCAAAGUCCCUCAAACUGCUUCUCAAGGUUGCUCUGGAGUUCAUGAGACUGACUGGUGUCUGUGGACCUCAAGAAGACAUUUUAUGAAGGCCUGGACAGUCUUGACAAAGACAGUUCCAAUCAAAGGAAGAGAAACGCUGUGCUCCGAGGCUUGCCAUACUUCCUGCGAGAAGACCCUACCAAUUUUUUUUAAGACGUGAGAAGACAACUGAUUCUGAGGAAGGCACCCGCGGAGUGAAAAUCGGUGUCGUUGUGGAUGGAGCUGAAGCAGGUGACCCAAUGCCAGCUCAUGUGGGUACAUGAGCUUCACAAUGUCCCAAAUGCCUUUGCCACUUUGAUUGGACUUCUUUAAUGUCUGAAUAUGGAUUACUCAAAAUGUUUGAGGUCUACUUUUGAGGUAGUUCAGAAAAUAUUCUUGAAGAUUGGUGCAGAAAACUACAGCAAAGGUCCAUAGGCUGAACCGUCUUCUUCAUUAAGACAACUAAUUAGUGUGUUUUUGUUUUACUCGCAGUAGUUGAGUUCAUUCCUCGGACAACGAUGCUGUUAUUUGCCUAAAUCUUACAAAUCUCCGUUUUGGGAAGUCUUAAGUUACCCUAUUUUUAUGUGUGACCUUCAGUCUACAAACUGAAGGUCAAAAAAGUGCAUUCUGAAAAUGUUUACACCAUGUUAGAUUUUUUCACACUCAACACCAACUUGUCAUAUAAACCGUUCUGAAGGUUGUCAUUUCUCAGUGUUUUAAUUUUUAUUUACCGUGCCAUAACCAUGUUUCAAUAGUUCCAUUUACAAGUGUAUGGGUUUCUUGGACAGUAAAAAAAAAAGUUUGACAAAACAUUUAUCUUUAUAAAAAAAAAUCUUAGGUGAUAUUGGUUAAGACCAAUUAGUGACAGCAGAAUUUGGAUUCCUGUUUAAAUGCACCCAAAGACAUGCACCUAAAAACAUGCAUUGUUAGAUUUUUUUUCUCUCAUGACAAUCAAAAUGCGUUCUAGGGAACAAUACAUCGUUGCAAAUGUAUUUGUUUGUUAAUACAUAGUGUAAUAAAUGUUCUGAAAUAC
This is a long non-coding RNA of Oncorhynchus tshawytscha (Chinook salmon), 1968 nucleotides long. Lineage: Eukaryota; Metazoa; Chordata; Actinopteri; Salmoniformes; Salmonidae. The record is from Ensembl.